This 376-nucleotide ribosomal RNA is filed under the name uncultured bacterium. Its description in RNAcentral is "bacterial SSU rRNA". It matches the Rfam family "Bacterial small subunit ribosomal RNA", at positions 524 to 898 of the family's 1533-position model. The record is from RNAcentral.
UACGUAGGUGGCAAGCGUUGUCCUGAUUUACUUUUCUUAAAUGUAGCGUAGGCGGAUACUUAAGUGGGAUGUGAAAUACCUGGGCUUAACUUGGGUGCUGCAUUCCAAACUGGGUGUCUAGAGUGUUGGAGAGGAAAGUGGAAUUCCUAGUGUAGCGGUGAAAUGCGUAGAGAUUAGGAAGAACACCAGUGGCGAAGGCGACUUUCUGGACAAUAACUGACGCUGAGGCUCGAAAGCGUGGGGAGCAAACAGGAUUAGAUACCCUGGUAGUCCACGCCGUAAACGAUGGGUACUAGGUGUAGGAGGUAUCGACUCCUCCUGUGCCGCCGUUAACACAAUAAGUACCCCGCCUGGGGAGUACGGUCGCAAGAUUAAA